RNAcentral lists this ribosomal RNA (429 nucleotides) under Bacteroidota bacterium. Its description in RNAcentral is "Bacteroidetes bacterium partial 16S ribosomal RNA". It matches the Rfam family "Bacterial small subunit ribosomal RNA", at positions 355 to 776 of the family's 1533-position model. The record is from RNAcentral. Lineage: Bacteria; Pseudomonadati; Bacteroidota.
UAGGGAAUCUUCCGCAAUGGACGCAAGUCUGACGGAGCAACGCCGCGUGAGUGAAGAAGGAUUACGGUUCGUAAAACUCUGUUGUUAGAGAAGAACAGCGCAUAGAGUAACUGUUAUGCGUGUGACGGUAUCUAACCAGAAAGCCACGGCUAACUACGUGCCAGCAGCCGCGGUAAUACGUAGGUGGCAAGCGUUGUCCGGAUUUAUUGGGCGUAAAGCGAGCGCAGGCGGUCAAUUAAGUCUGAUGUGAAAGCCCCCGGCUCAACCGGGGAGGGUCAUUGGAAACUGGUUGCCUUGAGUGCAGAAGAGGAGAGUGGAAUUCCAUGUGUAGCGGUGAAAUGGGUAGAUAUAUGGAGGAACACCAGUGGCGAAGGCGACUCUCUGGUCUGUAACUGACGCUGAGGUUCGAAAGCGUGGGUAGCAAACAGG